Small nucleolar RNA from Entelurus aequoreus (snake pipefish), 113 nucleotides. Lineage: Eukaryota; Metazoa; Chordata; Actinopteri; Syngnathiformes; Syngnathidae. The record is from RefSeq and is a predicted model, not a curated record.
GCACUGUCUUUGAACUUGUUGGGUCUGACCCGUGACCUCCUGGGCCAAACUACAGUGCUAAAGAGAGAGGGCUUGUUCAUAACAGGUCGCUCUUGUCAAAGCAAGCCAUAGCC